RNAcentral lists this ribosomal RNA (39 nucleotides) under Phytophthora palmivora. RNAcentral's name for it is "partial 18S ribosomal RNA". Lineage: Eukaryota; Oomycota; Peronosporomycetes; Peronosporales; Peronosporaceae. The record is from RNAcentral.
AACAAGUUUUCCGUAGGUGAACCUGCGGAAGGAUCAUUA